This 253-nucleotide ribosomal RNA is filed under the name uncultured cyanobacterium. RNAcentral's name for it is "partial 16S ribosomal RNA". It matches the Rfam family "Bacterial small subunit ribosomal RNA", at positions 524 to 776 of the family's 1533-position model. Lineage: Bacteria; Bacillati; Cyanobacteriota. The record is from RNAcentral.
UACGGAGGAUGCAAGCGUUAUCCGGAAUGAUUGGGCGUAAAGCGUCCGCAGGUGGCAGUGUAAGUCUGCUGUCAAAGGUCAGGGCUUAACCCUGAACAGGCAGUGGAAACUACACAGAUAGAGUGCGGUGGGGGCAGAGGGAAUUCCCAGUGUAGCGGUGAAAUGCGUAGAGAUUGGGAAGAACACCGGUGGCGAAAGCGCUCUGCUAGGCCGCAACUGACACUCAUGGACGAAAGCUAGGGGAGCGAAUGGG